UCAGGCAAGUGGCAACAUGCUAAUUUUCUUGUUGGCUCAAAGCAAGCAUGGAAUUGGAUGGCCAGUAUGGUUUUUUGUUUAUCAGGCAACAUGCUAAUUUUCUUGUUGGCUCAAAGCAAGCAUGGAAUUGGUCCAAUUGGAAGGCAACAGCAACAACUAGCAAGUGGUAGCAACAGCAGCAAAGUGGUAGCAACAGCCAACAGCAGCAAGCUUAAUUGUUGGCAGUAUGGUUUAAAUAAAGUAUGGUUUUUUGUUUAUCAGGCAACAACAACAACUAGCAAGUGGUAGCAACAGCAGCAACUAGCAACUAGCAAGUGGAUUAUGUUGUUAUGGAACUGUUAACUAAUAACUAGUAACUGUGUUGUUAUGGAACUGUUAUCUAUUAACUGUGUUGUUUAUGGGACUGUUAACUAGUAAAUGCGUUGUUUAUGGAACUGUUUAACUAGUAACUGUGUUGUUUAUGGAACUGUUAAUGGAUUGUAGGAAAUGUGUUUGUUGUUUAUGGAUUGUAGGAAUUAAACUGUGUUGCUGAUAUUUCUUUUUAAUUCGGUUAUUAACCGAAUAACCGAAUAUCCUAUUCGGUUAUUCAGUUAUUCGGUUAUUCGGUUAGUGCAAAAUUCGGUUACUUGUUCGGAUAGUUAAAACAGUGCUUUUUCGGAUACCGGUUAUAACCGAAUUACUGGUUCAGUUCGGUUAUUAACCGAAUGCUCAGUCCUACUUGAGAGCUUCCAUGAUAACUUCACUUUGUUACCCAACCUAAG
RNAcentral lists this long non-coding RNA (761 nucleotides) under Panax ginseng (ginseng). RNAcentral's name for it is "long non-coding RNA (PGIN_LNC013052)". The record is from RNAcentral. Lineage: Eukaryota; Viridiplantae; Streptophyta; Magnoliopsida; Apiales; Araliaceae.